RNAcentral lists this long non-coding RNA (921 nucleotides) under Manihot esculenta (cassava). RNAcentral's name for it is "long non-coding RNA (MESC_LNC006461)". Lineage: Eukaryota; Viridiplantae; Streptophyta; Magnoliopsida; Malpighiales; Euphorbiaceae. The record is from RNAcentral.
GGGCAACAGACUCACUGCUGGGGUCCUCGGUUCCUUGGGUCCGAACCUACACAGGUGGACUCAAAUGAGGGACCAUACAUACAUGAACAUAACUCUAAACUACUCCCCAAAAACCCCCUAAAACAUCAUGAAACAAUCAUAGAAAAAUAUGCAAGAAAUGGCUGAACAGGGCACUUUCGGCGGCAGGUUCGGCGGCAGGUUCGGCGGCCGAAAGUCCCUCCAGAGCCGAAAGUCAGGCAGGUUCGGCGACCGAAACUCCCAGACAGAGAUGAAAGUCUCCUUUCGGGGGCAAGCUUCAGCAGCCGAAGGCUGCCUCCACAAGCAUAUUCGGCGGCCGAAAGUUCCUUCGGCUGCCGAACCUGGUUUCUCCCAGAAUGGCAGAAACUCAGCUCCCCUAUGCAUUUAUGCCUCCUAUCUCAUCCAAACAUGCAUAAACCUAUUCUACAACAUUCCUCAAUCAUGCACAAGCAAACAUACAAGUUCCUAGGGGCAUCAAACCAUCAAAAACCCCAACUACAACACACAAGCAACUCACAUUGUCCAAAAACACAAUUAAAACCCAUAAACCUAACUAUGAGCUAAACAUGCAUUCUACCCCAUAGAUCUUGCAUAAAACUUACUUUAAACAUGAAAUGAGCUUAAGAUCGGCUCUUACCUCUUGAAGAUCGAGAGAGAGACGUCCUAAACUCGGAGGUGGGAGAUUUUUGGGUUCUUGAACCUCAAAGCUCCAAAACUUGCUUAAAACUCAAAAAUCUUCAAAACAAAGUAAAAACUUGUGAAAAAUUCGAAAGAUCUGAAGGAAAAGACUCAAGAUCGGUGAGGGGUGGCGGAGAACUCACCUUGGCCGGAAAUGGGGAAAAAACUCGCCCGUUUUCGGCUAAGGGACCCUUUUAUAGUGGCUGGCCAGGCCACGUUCGGAGG